Molecule: RNA transcript, 2164 nt
Organism: Haliaeetus leucocephalus (bald eagle)
Lineage: Eukaryota; Metazoa; Chordata; Aves; Accipitriformes; Accipitridae
Gene: RETREG2
Gene name: family with sequence similarity 134, member A
Exons: 9
Source: RefSeq, a predicted model, not a curated record
UUGUUUUCUUCCACCUCCCUGAGACCCCUCUUUCUCCUCAGCAUGUCCCUUCUUGGCAUCCUCUUGCUGGAGAGGUGGAAGCCCCGGUUCCUGUUUGAUUUCUCAGCACAGCCAUCGGAGGAGCCGGGAGGGGAGAGUGAGGGGGUGACUUCAGGGGCACAACCUCACCUGCUCAGUGUCCCUGAGCUGUGCCACUGUCUGGCAGAGAGCUGGGUCACCUUCAGGCUGUACCUGCAGGAACUGCUACAGUACAAGAGGCAAAAUCCCGCCAAGUUCUGCAUGAGUGUGUGUUCAGGCUGCCUGGUUCUGGCUGUAGUUGGACACUAUGUUCCAGGCAUAAUGAUCUCCUACAUCAUUUUGCUCAGCAUUCUGCUCUGGCCCCUGGUGGUCUACCAUGAGCUGAUCCAGAGGAUGUACACACGUUUGGAGCCUGUCCUGAUGAAACUGGACUACAGUAUGAAGGCAGAGACGCUGCACCACAAGCAUGAGAAGAAGAAGCGACAAGGGAAGAGUGAGCCUGCAGCAGGUGAUGAGCCAACAGCAGAGACGGAGAGUGAGAGUGAGGCAGAGCUAUCAGGCUUCUCCCCAGUGGUGGAUGUGAAGAAGACUGCCCUGGCACUGUCCAUCACAGAUUCUGAGCUCUCUGAUGAAGAGGCUUCCAUCCUGGAGAGUGGGGGCUUUUCUGUCUCAAGGGCUACAACCCCACAGCUGACGGACGUUUCUGAAGACCUGGAUCAGCAGAGCCUGCACAGUGAGCCGGAGGAGUCGUUUUCCAAGGACCUGGCAGAGUUUCCCUCCGUGGAAGAAUAUCAUUCCAGAGACCUGGGACCACAGAGCGAUGAAGACGCAUUUGGUGUGCCUCUGGGUCCUGAGCUUGCUCACGCUGCCCGUGAGCUGGACUCGGCAGAGAAGGAGGCCGCGGACUCUGACCUCUCCAUCCUUCGCCUAGCAUCUCCUCUCCAUUUUGUAAAUACGCACUUCAAUGGGAGCGGGCAAGUGGCAGGAGGCAACGCAGAGCCAAAGACUGUCCCUGCCCCAGGCCUGGGCAUCUGCAUUGACACGCUGAGCGAGGAGAUCGUCACCACUGCCAUUACCACGGCCGUGCAGAACACCCUCUCUGCCCUGCUGCGGUCCUCGGAGGCCAGCGAGGGGCCCUCCCUCUCCGAGUUCCUCCCCACCGAGCCUGAAGAGAAACUGAGCUUCCAAGCACAGCUGUCAGAGAGCGAAGUGGUGGAGACAGAGACAGCAGCUUCACCAGAGGAUGAGGAGGAAGCAGAUGACUUUGAGCUACUGGAUCAGGGGGAGCUGGAGCAAAUGGAUGUAGAGCUGGGGCUCGGAGAGGAGCAGGAAGCACAAGAGUCUCCUGCCACUCCGGCUCCCCCCUCUCCCACGCUUGCUGAGCUGCCAAAGCAAGGAGAUGAGGAGGAGGCAGUGAUGACAGCAGCAUCUAUGUCUUAGGUCUUCUUCAUGCGCCCCCUUUUCCUCCAUUGUCACUGGAAAAAAGGAAGAACUUGCACGGUGAACAUGCAAGCCCGGCCUUCGCUGGCUGAGCGGGAGAUGCCCCUGCCCUGCGGCUGGGGAAGAGCCGGCUCCUAGAAGCCUUACGCCACAAUCGAAACACCAACCCCAGCAAACGCUUCCUAGUAAUGGUGCAGUAUUUUGGUCUGUCUUCUGUUUGUCUUUCGUUUUGCACGCAGAGUACCGAGCUAGCUGUAGCUGCUGCUAAUACCCACAUCCCCAGUAGGACAUAUGCAAUCUUAUUUUAUUGGGUUUUUAAAUGGCUCAAAGUGUAAAUAAUUUUAACUUUCAUUGGUUUCGUUUGGGGGGAGGGGUGGGGUGCACAGUCAAACUUGGCUCUCGGGGGCUAGCGGAGGGAAAGAGGUCUUUGGAGGGGAGGGUAGCAGUAAGGGGACAAAAGCAGACAGGCGCUGUGCAGCGAAGAGACCCCUUCUGCAACUUGUCACCAUCUUUCACGUCACUGCUGGAACAGGGUGUCGGGCGAUACCUGUUUUUUGUCUGUCUGAUUUGAGUUCUGCUACUGGGUGGCUGCGGAGUUUUUUGCAAUCAAUGAAAUUCGCUCCUGGCCCUGUUCAGUACUCGCGUUUCUUCCUGCCGUGGCCUCUCCGGGGCACCUCUCGCCGUCCACACCGCUGACCCUGCUAGC